This 398-nucleotide ribosomal RNA is filed under the name Escherichia coli O45:H2 str. 2010C-3876. RNAcentral describes it as "bacterial LSU rRNA". It matches the Rfam family "Bacterial large subunit ribosomal RNA", at positions 2545 to 2925 of the family's 2925-position model. The record is from RNAcentral. Lineage: Bacteria; Pseudomonadati; Pseudomonadota; Gammaproteobacteria; Enterobacterales; Enterobacteriaceae.
UCCUGGGGCUGAAGUAGGUCCCAAGGGUAUGGCUGUUCGCCAUUUAAAGUGGUACGCGAGCUGUGUUUAGAACGUCGUGAGACAGUUCGGUCCCUAUCUGCCGUGGGNNCNGGAGAACUGAGGGGGGCUGCUCCUAGUACGAGAGGACCGGAGGGGACGCAUCACUGGUGUUCGGGUUGUCAUGCCAAUGGCACUGCCCGGUAGCUAAAUGCGGAAGAGAUAAGUGCUGAAAGCAUCUAAGCACGAAACUUGCCCCGAGAUGAGUUCUCCCUGACUCCUUGAGAGUCCUGAAGGAACGUUGAAGACGACGACGUUGAUAGGCCGGGUGUGUAAGCGCAGCGAUGCGUUGAGCUAACCGGUACUAAUGAACCGUGAGGCUUAACCUUACAACGCCGAAG